GCUUCUGUGGUCUAGUUGGUUAUGGCGUCGGUCUCAUAUCUCUUAUGACGCUUUCCUGAAGCGGAAAUCCGAAGGUCGGGAGUUCGAUCCUCCCCGGGAGCA
RNAcentral lists this transfer RNA (102 nucleotides) under Serendipita sp. 399. RNAcentral describes it as "tRNA-Met". It matches the Rfam family "tRNA". From Rfam's summary of the family: Transfer RNA (tRNA) molecules are approximately 80 nucleotides in length. Lineage: Eukaryota; Fungi; Basidiomycota; Agaricomycetes; Sebacinales; Serendipitaceae. The record is from RNAcentral.